Non-coding RNA from Acanthosepion pharaonis, 111 nucleotides. The record is from the annotation of a GenBank genome assembly. NCBI's taxonomy places the organism in Eukaryota, Metazoa, Mollusca, Cephalopoda, Sepiida, Sepiidae.
CAGCCACAUCACAUUGAAACACCAGUUCCUGUAUGAUCACUGAAGUUAAACAACAUCAAGCCUGACCAGUACUUAGAUGGGUAACUGUUUGGGAAUACCAGGUGCUGUAAU